UACAGAGGUCUCGAGCGUUAAUCGGAGUCACUGGGCUUAAAGGGUGCGUAGGCGGAUCUUCAAGUGUCUUGUGAAAUCCCACGGCUCAACCGUGGAAUUGCUCGAUAGACUGGAGAUCUUGAGGUUGGUAGGGGUCGCUGGAACUCUAGGUGGAGCGGUGAAAUGCGUAGAUAUCUAGAGGAACGCCGAAGGUGAAGACAAGCGACUGGGCCAAAUCUGACGCUGAGGCACGAAAGCGUGGGGAGCAAACGGG
This 253-nucleotide ribosomal RNA is filed under the name uncultured bacterium. Its description in RNAcentral is "partial 16S ribosomal RNA". It matches the Rfam family "Bacterial small subunit ribosomal RNA", at positions 524 to 776 of the family's 1533-position model. The record is from RNAcentral.